GACGAACGCUGGCGGCGUGCUUAACACAUGCAAGUCGAACGGAAAGGCCCUGCUUGCAGGGUACUCGAGUGGCGAACGGGUGAGUAACACGUGGGUGAUCUGCCCUGCACUUCGGGAUAAGCCUGGGAAACUGGGUCUAAUACCGGAUAGGAGCCAUUUUUAGUGUGAUGGUUGGAAAGUUUUUUCGGUGUAGGAUGAGCUCGCGGCCUAUCAGCUUGUUGGUGGGGUAAUGGCCUACCAAGGCGGCGACGGGUAGCCGGCCUGAGAGGGUGGACGGCCACAUUGGGACUGAGAUACGGCCCAGACUCCGACGGGAGGCAGAAGUGGGGAAUAUUGCACAAUGGGCGCAAGCCUGAUGCAGCGACGCCGCGUGGGGGAUGAAGGCCUUCGGGUUGGAAACUCCUUUCGCUAGGGACGAAGCUUUUUGUGACGGUACCUAGAUAAGAAGCACCGGCUAACUACGUG
Molecule: ribosomal RNA, 465 nt
Filed under: uncultured bacterium
Lineage: Bacteria
Description: partial 16S ribosomal RNA
Rfam family: Bacterial small subunit ribosomal RNA
Source: RNAcentral